Molecule: ribosomal RNA, 783 nt
Filed under: Staphylococcus haemolyticus
Lineage: Bacteria; Bacillati; Bacillota; Bacilli; Caryophanales; Staphylococcaceae
Description: partial 23S ribosomal RNA
Rfam family: Bacterial large subunit ribosomal RNA
Source: RNAcentral
GCUAAACAUAUUACCGAAGCUGUGGAUUGUCCGUAGGACAAUGGUAGGAGAGCGUUCUAAGGGCGUUGAAGCAUGAUCGCAAGGACAUGUGGAGCGCUUAGAAGUGAGAAUGCCGGUGUGAGUAGCGAAAGACGGGUGAGAAUCCCGUCCACCGAUUGACUAAGGUUUCCAGAGGAAGGCUCGUCCGCUCUGGGUUAGUCGGGUCCUAAGCUGAGGCCGACAGGCGUAGGCGAUGGAUAACAGGUUGAUAUUCCUGUACCACCUAGCAUCGUUUUAAUCGAUGGGGGGACGCAGUAGGAUAGGCGAAGCGUACGAUUGGAUUGUACGUCUAAGCAGUGAGAUUGAGUGUUAGGCAAAUCCGGCACUCUUAAGAUUGAGCUGUGAUGGGGAGAGGAAAUUGUUUCCUCGAGUCGUUGAUUUCACACUGCCGAGAAAAGCCUCUAGAUAGAUAAUAGGUGCCCGUACCGCAAACCGACACAGGUAGUCAAGAUGAGAAUUCUAAGGUGAGCGAGCGAACUCUCGUUAAGGAACUCGGCAAAAUGACCCCGUAACUUCGGGAGAAGGGGUGCUCUUUAGGGUGCAAGCCCAGAAGAGCCGCAGUGAAUAGGCCCAAGCGACUGUUUAUCAAAAACACAGGUCUCUGCUAAACCGUAAGGUGAUGUAUAGGGGCUGACGCCUGCCCGGUGCUGGAAGGUUAAGAGGAGUAGUUAGCUUCUGCGAAGCUACGAAUCGAAGCCCCAGUAAACGGCGGCCGUAACUAUAACGGUCCUAAGGUAGCGAAAU